CAAGGCUUGACAUAUAGAGGAAAAGUGCAGAAAUGCACUCCCCGCAAGGUCUCUAUACAGGUGGUGCAUGGUUGUCGUCAGCUCGUGUCGUGAGAUGUUGGGUUAAGUCCCGCAACGAGCGCAACCCUCGUCCUAUGUUGCCAGCACGUUAUGGUGGGAACUCAUGGGAUACUGCCGGGGUCAACUCGGAGGAAGGUGGGGAUGACGUCAAGUCCUCAUGGCCCUUACGUGUUGGGCUACACACGUGCUACAAUGGAGCGUACAAAGGGUUGCAACCCCGCGAGGGUGAGCUAAUCCCAUAAAACGUUUCGUAGUCCGGAUCGCAGUCUGCAACUCGACUGCGUGAAGUCGGAAUCGCUAGAAAUGGUAGAUCAGAAUGCUACGGUGAAUACGUUCCC
RNAcentral lists this ribosomal RNA (398 nucleotides) under uncultured bacterium. RNAcentral describes it as "bacterial SSU rRNA". It matches the Rfam family "Bacterial small subunit ribosomal RNA", at positions 975 to 1375 of the family's 1533-position model. The record is from RNAcentral.